Cervus elaphus (red deer) is the source of this 227-nucleotide long non-coding RNA. RefSeq lists it as uncharacterized. The transcript is spliced from 3 exons. The record is from RefSeq and is a predicted model, not a curated record. Lineage: Eukaryota; Metazoa; Chordata; Mammalia; Artiodactyla; Cervidae.
AUUAGUGGGUUCCCGAGCUGAGACCCCCCCACCCUCCGGAGGAGGGGGACCCGCGCGCGUCUGGUGUCCCCAGGUCACCCGGCUCCUCGUCUUUGGCCGCCUUCAGCCAGCAACACUGAAAAGAGGAACCAGUGGAGAGAAAAUGAAAAGGCAGAAUAUCACCACUGACUCACCAAUUCCACCUGAAAAGCACAGUACUCAUGUACAGAUGUGAGUUGGACCACAAA